Long non-coding RNA from Micropterus dolomieu (smallmouth bass), 2213 nucleotides. RefSeq lists it as uncharacterized. The record is from RefSeq and is a predicted model, not a curated record. The transcript is spliced from 5 exons. NCBI's taxonomy places the organism in Eukaryota, Metazoa, Chordata, Actinopteri, Centrarchiformes, Centrarchidae.
GUGUCUCGCUGCGCUGUCCUAUCGUCUGAGAUUGGCGCUCUGUGUGGUCCGUGUGGUGUCUGCGACGUCAGCACGUGAAUGUUUAGAGAUUCGGAGGUGUGUGGACAACUAAGCAGGAGAAUAAACACUGGAGGAGUUGAUGGAAGCCCCUACAGAUAUUAUGUAACAUGCUGAAUCAAUAUCAACCGACAGGGACACAAUACAGAUCAUCUCCUAAUGGUUCACCAGUGGUUCCAGAGGGUCAAGAGAACUCAGUGGUUUGCAGGAUAUAUCUGAGUGAUCGACAAUACAGAAACUUUUUGGAGCUCCAUAAUAUCCAUCCUGUGACGAGGGGACUGGGUGUGAUUUCACUCUCCACUCUGAUCAAAAGCACCAGCUGACCUGAAAGACAGAAAGGUCCACUGACUGCUGGGAACCACCCUGACUGCUCAUGGAGAAAAGCAUCAUCAUGGUCCUGUGGGAGAGAUACAGACAGCACUCAUGUGGAUUCAGUAGUAAUCUGUGCUGCAACUAACGAUUAUUUUCAUUGUUGAUUAAGCUGUUAAUUAAUUUCUCGAUUACUCGAUUAGUGAAAAUUGGUGAUCAAAACCCAAGAUGACAUCCUCAACUGCCUUGUUUUGUCCACAACUGAAAGAUCUUAAGUUUACUGUCAUAGCGCAGUAAAGAAAUAUUCACAUAUAUGAAUCAGAGAAUUUUGACUUAAAAAAAUUGCUCAAACCAAUUAAUCACUUAUCAAAAUAGUUGGAGAUUAAUUUAAUAGUUGACAAUUAAUGGAUUAAUCAAAUCAAUCAUUUUAGCAUCAUCGACAUGCAUGUAAUUAGAGGAAACAUCCACUUACUGUACAUUGUAUAAUUCAUGAUAGUCAGCAUUCCUAAAAAAGUGAAUGUUUUGGCACUAACACCCUGUGGUUGUUUUUCUAUAAGGGUCAAUUCACCCCAAAACACACAACGCUAUUUUUUGACUUCCUUUUAAGUAGAGCUGGCUAUGCAGAUACCUUUGGUUUACUCCAUUUCUUUGGCACGUUUCACAGUAAAUAUUGAAAACUGCACACAGUGAGGUCAGUAAAUUAUUUAGAGCAGAGGUACUCAAACUGGGAGGCGGUCCUCCCCAUGGAUCGUAGAAAAUUUGAAGAGGAACUGUGAGGGAGAUACUUCACGAGGUAAAAAGGGACAGGUGUUCUAAAAAACAACAGGAAAUUUGUUAUUGUAGUUUGAUCAACACAGUCAGCUGUAGCAGAAGCAGCAACAGUAGUAACUCACAGCUCAAGGAGGCAAUUAAGGAAUUUUUAAACCCCUACAGCCCUUGCUGCCUCCCUGACUUAAAUCCACUUAGAAAUCAUUAAAAAAAGACUCCCCUUAUAACUCCAGAACCUACCUUUUCUACAGUAUGAAAUUAAUACUGUGAUAGCUGCUGUAUAUCAUUGGGUACAUAGCAAACCGGAACUGCUAUAUAAUAAUAUAAAAUACAAAACUGAAUAAUAUAAACACAAGCAAGUGAUAUUUGGCACUUUAAGUGAUUCUUGUGUGACCCUCUAUGUGUUUAUGUAGAGACACUCAUUAGGUAAAUAUUGCUGUCAAACCUUCACAUCAGUCUCUUGUGAUGUCUUCAGACUUGCAGAAACAUACAUGUUGCACUCACACCAUUUGAUUUUUAUGUGUGUACCUAGGAGUGGUGUGUGCCAGCCCAUCCUGCUUUGAUUCUGAGCACACCCAGGUCAACAUCCUUUGUUUUUUAGCGCCUCAGGACGAGGUACUGUCCUAGCACUAUUUAAAUGCUGACAGCAGCUCUGCUAGAGGAGACAGUUGGUGAUUCAGUCUAAAUGAACAUUCACUUCUAAUGGAUUGACCUAUGUGCCAUGCAGCACAACCCAUACAAUUAAUGCUUGCUUGAAUUGGUGGGGAAGUCAAUUUAAUUACCAUGGACCUAAUUACCGGCCUCUGUUUCCUAGUACAGUUCUGUCAGAGUGUUGUAGGCAAUCAUGAUGUUUCAUUCCCUCUUAGUCUCAAAUAACCAUGUUUAGGUCAUAUUGCUGCCCUAAAAUAUUUCUGCUGGCAUUACGACAAAAAUUUCAACCAGCCAUGUUUUUGUUAGCAUUGGAAUUCAAAGUCUGUUAACAAGUCCUGCACAUGCCUUUUUCUUUGAAAAAGGUAGAGGAAGUAUUAUGAUCCUUUAUUUAAGUGUAAGGCCAUUACUACGCUGUAAAAUAGUCCUGC